CGGGACGACGCUGGCGGCGUGGAUUAGGCAUGCAAGUCGGACGGUAGGGCUUUAUCGUAAGAUAGAGUUUGAGAGUGGCGAACGGGUGAGUAACACGUAGGAAUCUACCCUUAAGACGGGGACAACCCAGGGAAACUUGGGCUAAUACCGGAUGAGAGUGCGAGAGAUUGCAUUUAAAAGGAUGGCGAAAGUUGUCGCUUAGGGAUGGACUCGCGGCCUAUCAGCUAGUUGGUGAGGUAAUGGCUCACCAAGGCGACGACGGGUAGCCGGCCUGAGAGGGCGACCGGCCACACUGGGACUGAGACACGGCCCAGACUCCUACGGGAGGCAGCAGUGGGGAAUAUUGCACAAUGGGCGAAAGCCUGAUGCAGCGACGCCGCGUGAGGGAUGACGGCCUUCGGGUUGUAAACCUCUUUCAGCAGGGAAGAAGCGAAAGUGACGGUACCUGCAGAAGAAGCACCGGCUAACUACGUG
Molecule: ribosomal RNA, 474 nt
Filed under: uncultured bacterium
Lineage: Bacteria
Description: bacterial SSU rRNA
Rfam family: Bacterial small subunit ribosomal RNA
Source: RNAcentral